UAACACGUAGGGGGCAAGCGUUGUUCGGAAUUACUGGGCGUAAAGGGCAUGUAGGCGGUUUUGUAAGCCUGGCGUGAAAUUCUGCAGCUUAACUGUAGGACUGCGCUGGGAACUGCGAGACUGGAGUCACGGAGAGGGAGCCAGAAUUCCAGGUGUAGGGGUGAAAUCUGUAGAUAUCUGGAAGAAUACCAAUGGCGAAGGCAGGCUUCUGGCCGAUGACUGACGCUGAGGUGCGAAAGCGUGGGUAGCAAACAGGAUUAGAUACCCUGGUAGUCCACGCGGUAAACGAUGCACACUAGGUGCCGGGGCGGACGCUUCGGUGCCGGAGCCAACGUGGUAAGUGUGCCGCCUGGGGAGUAUGCUCGCAAGGGUGAAACUUAAAUGAAUUGACGG
RNAcentral lists this ribosomal RNA (393 nucleotides) under uncultured bacterium. RNAcentral's name for it is "bacterial SSU rRNA". It matches the Rfam family "Bacterial small subunit ribosomal RNA", at positions 521 to 916 of the family's 1533-position model. The record is from RNAcentral.